RNAcentral lists this ribosomal RNA (254 nucleotides) under uncultured bacterium. RNAcentral describes it as "partial 16S ribosomal RNA". It matches the Rfam family "Bacterial small subunit ribosomal RNA", at positions 524 to 776 of the family's 1533-position model. The record is from RNAcentral.
UACGGGGGGAGCAAGCGUUGUUCGGAUUUACUGGGCGUAAAGGGCGCGUAGGCGGCCACCGCAAGUCGACUGUGAAAUCCCCGGGCUUAACCCGGAAAGGUCAGCCGAUACUGCGGGGCUAGAGUGCAGAAGGGGCAACUGGAAUUCUCGGUGUAGCGGUGAAAUGCGUAGAUAUCGAGAGGAACACCUGCGGCGAAGGCGGGUUGCUGGGCUGACACUGACGCUGAUGCGCGAAAGCUAGGGGAGCGAACGGG